RNAcentral lists this ribosomal RNA (684 nucleotides) under Enterobacter cloacae. RNAcentral's name for it is "bacterial SSU rRNA". It matches the Rfam family "Bacterial small subunit ribosomal RNA", at positions 815 to 1497 of the family's 1533-position model. The record is from RNAcentral. Lineage: Bacteria; Pseudomonadati; Pseudomonadota; Gammaproteobacteria; Enterobacterales; Enterobacteriaceae.
ACUUGGGAGGUUGUGCCCUUGAGGCGUGGCUUCCGGAGCUAACGCGUUAAGUCGACCGCCUGGGGAGUACGGCCGCAAGGUUAAAACUCAAAUGAAUUGACGGGGGCCCGCACAAGCGGUGGAGCAUGUGGUUUAAUUCGAUGCAACGCGAAGAACCUUACCUACUCUUGACAUCCAGAGAACUUUCCAGAGAUGGAUUGGUGCCUUCGGGAACUCUGAGACAGGUGCUGCAUGGCUGUCGUCAGCUCGUGUUGUGAAAUGUUGGGUUAAGUCCCGCAACGAGCGCAACCCUUAUCCUUUGUUGCCAGCGGUUAGGCCGGGAACUCAAAGGAGACUGCCAGUGAUAAACUGGAGGAAGGUGGGGAUGACGUCAAGUCAUCAUGGCCCUUACGAGUAGGGCUACACACGUGCUACAAUGGCGCAUACAAAGAGAAGCGACCUCGCGAGAGCAAGCGGACCUCAUAAAGUGCGUCGUAGUCCGGAUUGGAGUCUGCAACUCGACUCCAUGAAGUCGGAAUCGCUAGUAAUCGUGGAUCAGAAUGCCACGGUGAAUACGUUCCCGGGCCUUGUACACACCGCCCGUCACACCAUGGGAGUGGGUUGCAAAAGAAGUAGGUAGCUUAACCUUCGGGAGGGCGCUUACCACUUUGUGAUUAAAGACUGGGAGUGAAGUCGUAACAAGGU